AUACUAACCUGGAAAGAGGGAACUAUAGUCAUUAAAGUAUUUUACUCAUGGAAAGGCUUAUCUAUUUCACUUCAAGUCUGCUGACCCUUAAUAAUUCCCCAAAUGAGAAUACCUAACCGUAUAAUAUCUAGUACUGGGAGUAGGUAUUUGAACUUUACCCUG
This is a small nuclear RNA of Mesocricetus auratus (golden hamster), 162 nucleotides long. Its record names the gene U1. It matches the Rfam family "U1 spliceosomal RNA". Rfam says of the family: U1 is a small nuclear RNA (snRNA) component of the spliceosome (involved in pre-mRNA splicing). Its 5' end forms complementary base pairs with the 5' splice junction, thus defining the 5' donor site of an intron. The record is from Ensembl. NCBI's taxonomy places the organism in Eukaryota, Metazoa, Chordata, Mammalia, Rodentia, Cricetidae.